Molecule: unclassified non-coding RNA, 351 nt
Filed under: soil metagenome
Description: partial contains 5.8S ribosomal RNA, internal transcribed spacer 2, and large subunit ribosomal RNA
Rfam family: 5.8S ribosomal RNA (bases 1-120)
Source: RNAcentral
GAUGAAGAACGUAGCGAAAUGCGAUAAGUAGUGUGAAUUGCAGAAUUCAGUGAAUCAUCGAAUCUUUGAACGCACAUUGCGCCCGCCAGUAUUCUGGCGGGCAUGCCUGUCUGAGCGUCAUUUCAACCCUCACGCCCCUAGGGCGUGGUGUUGGGGAUCGGCCAAGGCCCGCAAGGGACGGCCGGCCCCUAAAUCUAGUGGCGGACCCAUCGUGGCCUCCCCUGCGAAGUAGUAAUAUAUUCCGCAUCGGAUAGCGAUGAGCCCCUGCCGUUAAACCCCCAACUCUUUCAAGGUUGACCUCAGAUCAGGUAGGAAUACCCGCUGAACUUAAGCAUAUCAAUAAGCGGAGGA